Molecule: ribosomal RNA, 253 nt
Filed under: uncultured bacterium
Lineage: Bacteria
Description: partial 16S ribosomal RNA
Rfam family: Bacterial small subunit ribosomal RNA
Source: RNAcentral
UACGUAGGGGGCAAGCGUUGUCCGGAUUUAUUGGGCGUAAAGAGCGUGUAGGCGGUUUGGUAGGUCCGCUGUGAAAACUCGAGGCUCAACCUCGAGACGCCGGUGGAAACCAUCAGGCUAGAGUCCGGAAGAGGAGAGUGGAAUUCCUGGUGUAGCGGUGAAAUGCGCAGAUAUCAGGAGGAACACCGGUGGCGAAGGCGGGUCUCUGGGCAGUAACUGACGCUGAGGAGCGAAAGCGUGGGGAGCGAACAGG